CUCACUCCUCCCUCUCUCCAGCAGUGUUAUGUUAAGUAGCUGGUCUGCUUUCUGUCUGUGGCUGUACUCCUUGGGUUUCAAUUCCAAACAUGGUUAUCUUUCUAGGGGUCUCUCUCCUCUCUCUCUCUCUCUCUCUGCUGCCAACUGUGAGCACUCCAGAGCAAACAAAUGGGUGAGGAGAAAUAGAAAAUCUAUAGACAGACAAAUCAUUGAAGGGACGAGAGGGAGGGAGAGACGCACAAUGUGAGAAAUCCAUUCCAAUUGUGUUUACGGUGUAAUAACCGAAUAAAGACACAUCGUGUACUCCAGCUGUAUGUAAGGGAAAAGGGAACAAUCUUUUUCAACGUUUUGACUGAACUUUUGAGAAAUAGACCAACUCCAGUGACAAUUGUUCAGUUUCACUGAUAAAGCAACCAAAAACUUCAAGAUUUAGUGGAGGACAACCUUUUUCUACCAGCUUUGACCUCUGGUGUCUUUUGUCAGCUUUGGAAUAUAACACAUUUUAAAAACUUAUUGAACAACUAGAUGUUUGGUUUGGAAUAACAGCCUCCCUUACCAUGUGUGCAGACAACUCCACCCUGUUGGAGGCGGUUCUCUACGGCCAUCCACCAUGCGAUGGCUGGACCAACAACACUGAGGGGGCCUUCUACCACCUGGGCAACACCGUCUUGUUCCUUGGGUACAUGGGAGGCAGCGGCGCCUAUGGCUGCCUGUUCAUAUUUGGUUUCCUGACGAUUGCCUUCACCUGCCUGGCUCUGUGGGGCUGGAUGACCAUGUGUGGGGUGGAUGUGUUCACCUGGAACUUGCUACUGCUGGUGGCCUGUGUGCUCCAGAUCUGCCACCUCGUAUACAGGCUGCAACAGGAUGGCCUGGCCAGCGAGGAGCUGUUGGCCCUCUACUCAGCCGUCUACCAGCCCCUGGAUGUUCCCGUACAGGUGUUCAAAGAUAUUGUGGGGGCCUGUGAGAACAAAGUGCUAGCACUAGGGGUAGAGGAGACGUAUGCGGUGGAGGGCAAGACGCCCAUCGACCAGCUCUCCUUUCUGCUGUCUGGGAGGAUCCGUGUGUCUCUGGAUGGACAAUUCCUCCAUUACAUCUUCCCCCACAAGUUCCUGGACUCUCCUGAGUGGGAGUCUCUCCGACCCAACGAAGAGGGGAACUUUCAGGUGACCCUGACAGCGGAGACGGACUGCCGCUACAUCUCAUGGCGUCGGUGCCGCCUUUACAUGCUUCUGUCCAAGGAGCGCUACAUUGCCCGCCUCUUCUCCAUCAUGCUGGGCAGCGACAUCGCCGACAAGCUCUACUCACUCAACGACAAGCUCUUCGCGAAGAGUGGCGUGCGCCUCGACAUUCGAUUGCCCAGCCUCUACCACGUCCUGGCCCCCUCCUCCCUGGGCAGCGAGGGGGAGGUCUAUAGCGGCAGUGGUAGUGGGAGUGCCAGGGACCAGGUAGCCCCAGUGGAACAGCAGCAAGCAGCAGUGGUAGAUGUGGACCCGGUUCCAGCCUACCAGAGGUCAGAGCCUCCAACACCCCCAACCCCUCGGCUGCAGAUCCGAGAGAAGAUCCCCACCCCAUCUCGGCCAACCCCCCGCCAACCAUCCCAGCGCCAGCCCUCAGACAUGGAGAUGCCAUCUGGUGAGGACUCUACCAGCCUGGUCCUAGAAGACUUUGCGGAUAUGACCGGGUCCUUAAUGGAUUAUGGGAGUGAGAGGGAUUAUUUGAGGUAGAUGGCAGGUUGCUGGAGCUAACACACUGGGCCACUACUUAAGAUACAUGAUGUCCCCCAGUCCUCAGGAUCACCUGCACUUCAGCACUCUUGUCCAGGAGGAACACCUCCAGCUGCACCAGGAUGUGAUGGGCUGGGGAAGAGGAGGAGGGGACGGGAUGUAACUUGAUCAUCAUCACAUGAGAUAUUGCUGUAUUUAACCAUUCAACUGUGGGGUCAAAGUAGUGGGCAUAAUGAACAUCCAACAAUUGUCUGAUGGACAGCCAGUCUGUGUUUUUACAUAGAGGUAAAUGUUGGCUACUCACCACAGAAGGGAGGUGCAGAAGUUGUCAGGAGGAAAAGCUUAUUUGGUUGAGGAAGAGGAAAGACUGUUAAACCACUGUUCUCCAAUAACCCUGAAACACACAAGGACACAUGCACAUACAAAAGACAGAGAGAGUAAGAUGUAAAAUAGCCAUUCCUAUCACAGUUAUGACAGAUGAAAGGCCUCCAGAGUACAUUUACUGCUUUAUCUGUAUCAGUCUGUCACUGCAUCAGCAGCUCCAAUGUGGCCAGACCAGACAUGACACUAGCUAGGUCAGACAGUUGCCCUAUCUCUCACUGAGUGAAACCUGACUAAAGUAAACAUGGAAAGUGUGCUUGGAAGUUUGAAUAAUACCAAAAUAUCUCAUGUAAACACGUGAUCAAAAUAGUUUGUGCAUAGUCUACUCUAGGCUACAUGUAAAAGGUGGCUAUUUAUAAUAUUUACAUUUGUAUGACCAACGUACUCACAGACAGCAGGUUGGUAUAAUAUCUGGGGAAAUAGUUCAUGUUGAUGAUGUCCUUACCUAUUCGUGGACAUCUGCCUGGGCAGCCUAAACAGCGCCCCUUGAGGAAGUCCUCAUAGCUGGAACAAGGGAUACCAGUCAGUGGGCAGGUCCCGUUCAGUGCACUUAUGUAGACGUGGAGCGCCCUCAUGUGGUCACAGAUCACAUAGCUAUACACUGGAAAGUAGACAAGAACUGAUCACAAACGAAGAUUCUCAGGCAGCCAGAAGCUUACCACUAAAUAGCCUAUAGGCUAGUAAACAUAGUGCUUACUGUUUAGUUAGUGAAUAAUCAAAAAACAUCAACAGUUGUUUAAGUUGAAAGACAUGUCUGAAGUUUAUAUUGAAAUUCAUACACACUUAGGUUAGGCCUCUUUGCCAAUGAAGCAUUUCGGCGGCAAAAUGGUCUUACUUGACGUAGACCUGGAGCGCGAGCAACCUGCUUGGUCCAUCCCGCCAUUUAGAAAGAAGUCUGCAUGGCCGACAGAGAUGGAGAUGCCGAAAUCUGAGAGAAAAGGAUGAUAUUUGAUGUCGAAUGGCUGAUACCAGGACAUUGUCAUAUUGUCAUUCCAGUGAACAGUGAGACUUUUGAAAUAGAGUAGGCCUAAGAGGAAAAGAUGGAAUGGUAGCAGAAAUCUCUUUGCAAUAACAAUGAUUAUUUGUGUGUAGCCUAUUCUCUCACAGUCGGAGUCAGUGUGGAUGGCCUCCACAAACAGUGCAUCUGAGGGGUCAAGACGGUCAAACGUGUCGGCUCUUUUAAACAUUGGUCCAGCCGGGUCCAGACCUACAGCAGGAGAUACAGAGCCACCCAAUCCAUGGUCCGCUUGCGUGCCUCCUCCCAGCUGUACCGUGGAGCGUACCCCAUGUCCCUCUGAGCCCUCUGAUAAGAAAAGCUGAAGGGUGUGUUCAGCAUGGUGAGGAGCUGCCGGUUUAUGGGCGGUGUGAAGCGCUUGAAGGGGCAGAGCAGUAUCUGCAGCAUCUCCAUGAGGAAACAGAGGAGGUAGAGGACUGGGAUGGGCAGGAUAGGCUUCUCCUGGAUGCUGAAGCCCAGCGGCGACAACACAGCAUGGUUGAAGUCAGAGUAGCUGACAGGCGGCGUGUCAUCUGAGAUGUAGUAGAAGUUCCCUCCGAUGGCGGCUCUCCGCUGGGGGUCUCGCAGGGCACGGGCAGCCUGGAGGUGGGCCAGGGCCGCAUUCCCCACGUAUACAGGGUUCACCUGGGCCUCCGGGCGGGAGGUCCGGUACAACAUAUCCCCGUUCCGAAUCCCGUCUCCCAUAUGGCCCAGCAGGAAACGGCAGCCCUCUCCAUAGAUGUACAUGGGUCGGAGGGCGCAGGUGGCCAGCCGGCCCCCAUUCUGGAGCACCUCACCCUGGGCUUGCAGGGUGACCUGCUCGGCCUCCUUCUUGGUCUUGCUGUAGGGGAACUUUAGGGAGCAUGUGUAGGGUGUGUUCUCAUCACCGUUGAUGAUGGGGUCUCCGUUGGCGUUGGGGCCGGCGACUUCGAUGCUGCUGGUGUAGAUGAAGGACACCACAUUCUCCUGGACGCACGUCUCCAGAAGGAGCUGGGUUCCUGAGAAAGAUAUCAGAUGAAUGAGUAUAUCAGCAGGGUCAAUUCCGUUUUCAAGAGCAGUUCAAGUAUUUGAAAGUAUUGGACAUGUUUAUUUCACUCAGGUCUGCUGCCAAUCUCAACCCAAAGCUUCAGUAAAAUCUGAUCAUACCUUUGACGUUGACCCUGUGAAGCUCACUGUAUAACACCUUCCCGGUGACGUCAAUGAGGGACGCAGUGUGGAAGACCAGCGAUGCUCCCUUGCACGCUCUCCUCAGCAGGUCACUAUCACUAAUGUCCCCUUCAAAUACGCUUACCAGCGUGUCCCCUCUGAUCUCUGACAACAAAUCAAUCAGAGAAGAAAGAAACUAAAGAAAAGUUGUAAAAUAUCUAUAUUUACACUAUUUACCCUAAUAGUGAGAGAGAAAAAAGGAGAGCUGGUAUAGUAUUUACCUUCCAGACACUGUAUGAGUUGUGGUCGGACAUGUAUGUCCAGCAUACGGAUCUCUGUGAGCUUGUCUUCCUCCAGCAGCAGCCGUACCAGCCUCUCUCCCAGGAACCCACAGGCUCCUGUCACCACACACACAUCACCUUGCAGAGACAUGGCCCAGUCCAAAAUCUGAAACUACUACCCCUUUCAGAAAACUCCCUUUCCUAAGCACUGGGAAUGACCAAUGCUCCAGACUUUGUCCCGUCCUAAAACUCCUCUGCUAUCCCGAGGGCAUGGCAGACACUAACUUAACACCCCUCUCCCCUCUCUGAAAACUCCCUUUUUCUAGCCUGAGGGAAUGUGCUAGAAGUGCCGGUAACUGCCACUCUGGGGUGAGAAGUGAGGCAAGGUCUACAGGCAGGCAUACGCAAGAGAGGGAGGGAGGACAGGGAUGUUUUAUUUCCCAGUAUCUGCCAAGGACGGCUGCCAAUGCUACAGGUCACAGACCAGCCAUGGAAAACAGAAGACUUGAAUGUCAAGGCGACGUCUGACUAACAAUUUGUUUUUGUCCCCUGUUGACAGUGAUAAACUGACCAGAGUCAGUUUAUCAGAUUUAGUGGCUCUGGCUGGUUUAUUUUGACAGGCUUGGCCAUGGAUUCUCUACAUGCUCUAUAAAACAUCUAUAUAUUCACCCUGUGUCAUUUAUUCCAGAUUUUAAACCUAAUCCGGAACUGCAUUAGGAUCAGUUUGGUCAUGAGUAGCAUAUGUUGAAGUAGUUUUAUCCUCUCAUAAACUGCCAAAUGUAUGUGAUUGCAGGUGGUUUUGUGACAUUUUGAACAGCUCAAGAUUCUAGAGUAACACACUGGACAUACCUCUUUCCCAAAUGUAUUUAAUUUAUUAAUUUAUUUUGCUCCUUUGCACCCCAUUAUUUUUAUUUCUACUUUGCACAUUCUUCCAUUGCAAAACUACCAUUCCAGUGUUUUACUUGCUAUAUUGUA
Molecule: RNA transcript, 5501 nt
Organism: Oncorhynchus gorbuscha (pink salmon)
Lineage: Eukaryota; Metazoa; Chordata; Actinopteri; Salmoniformes; Salmonidae
Gene name: popeye domain-containing 2-like
Exons: 5
Source: RefSeq, a predicted model, not a curated record